AGGGGAGACUAGUAACUGUGUCAGGAGCUGACAGCUCUUCAUCUCCUGUGUGGUUGAUUGUUGGACUGGUUUGUGGAGUCUCUCUCAUUAUUAUUCUCCUGCUCUUGUUGUAUCGCUGCAGAACAACCAACAGUGCUGCUAAUGAGCAGACGCUCAAUCAGGAUGAAGAUCAGCAGCACGUGUACUCCUCUCUUCUUCAUGGUGAUCGUUGUGUCUAUGAGACAGUCAGAAGAUGUGAAAACACUGAAAAUGGUCCAGCAGAAGGUGAUUACACCAAUGUCACAUCUGUGAUUCAGCUCAAAGUCAUUAACAAGACAAGGCAACGUGGUGACCCAGAGGAGAGCUCUGACUAC
This is a long non-coding RNA of Oreochromis niloticus (Nile tilapia), 353 nucleotides long. RefSeq lists it as uncharacterized. The transcript has 6 exons. The record is from RefSeq and is a predicted model, not a curated record. Lineage: Eukaryota; Metazoa; Chordata; Actinopteri; Cichliformes; Cichlidae.